This 256-nucleotide ribosomal RNA is filed under the name uncultured bacterium. RNAcentral describes it as "partial 16S ribosomal RNA". It matches the Rfam family "Bacterial small subunit ribosomal RNA", at positions 524 to 776 of the family's 1533-position model. The record is from RNAcentral.
UACGUAGGGCGCAAGCGUUGUCCGGAAUUAUUGGGCGUAAAGAGCUCGUAGGCGGUUUGUCGCGUCUGCUGUGAAAACCUCAGGCUCAACCUGGGGCUUGCAGUGGGUACGGGCAGACUAGAGUGCGGUAGGGGUGACUGGAAUUCCUGGUGUAGCGGUGGAAUGCGCAGAUAUCAGGAGGAACACCGAUGGCGAAGGCAGGUCACUGGGCCGCAACUGACGCUGAGGAGCGGAAAAGCAUGGGGGAGCGAACAGG